GCCCAUCCAUCUGGCAGAGAAAGGGAUGCUCAGGACACAGAACAGCCAUGCUACAUUAACAAGACUUCUGUGAGCACCAACUUUGGAUGAGGUCUACUCUCUACAGAGGUCUCUGGCAACCUCACCACCUGCAGCUCCUUGCCCUCAUGCAGCACUUCCUGAGAGGCAGAGACAUGGACUAGGAGAAACCUGAGAGACAUGCUCUCGCUCUACUCCUCAGGCUGGAGUGCAGUGGCACAAUCACAGCUCAGUGUAAUCUUGAACUCCUGGGCUCAAGAGAUCUUCCUGCCUUAGCCUGCGGGGUAGCCAGGACUACAGGUAUGCACCACUACAUCCAGCUGAGAACAUGCAGUCCUGCUAGGAUGUAAUGAAAAUGGUACUUUACCUUGGUGGUAUUCCUCCAAAAAACAUACAACUCCAGGCUAACCAUGAGAAAA
Molecule: long non-coding RNA, 437 nt
Filed under: Pongo abelii (Sumatran orangutan)
Lineage: Eukaryota; Metazoa; Chordata; Mammalia; Primates; Hominidae
Description: lincRNA
Source: RNAcentral